ACCUUACGAGGGCUAUUGAGUAUCGAUAGAGGAUCAUCCACUCUCGGCGUCAUGAGAGGAAUAUCCCAUAUGUUCUUGCUCAGACAAAUCCCUGGCUAGGGUCAUUCGGGUUGAGAGAGAAAGAGUUCUCCGGGAGAAUCCGAUUAGAGCGAGACUCGAGUAGAAACCGUAUGGGUCUGACAGCUUGUGAAUUACAUAGUCUUCUAAUGUAUUUUUCAUCCAAACAACUUGUGCACAGCAUGCACUUGCAGCAAUGUAUUCGGCUUCCGUCGUAGAUAGUGCAACUGAAUUUUGUUU
RNAcentral lists this long non-coding RNA (297 nucleotides) under Musa acuminata (dwarf banana). RNAcentral's name for it is "long non-coding RNA (MACU_LNC010037)". The record is from RNAcentral. Lineage: Eukaryota; Viridiplantae; Streptophyta; Magnoliopsida; Zingiberales; Musaceae.